RNAcentral lists this long non-coding RNA (1088 nucleotides) under Homo sapiens (human). Its description in RNAcentral is "non-protein coding lnc-NUTM2B-1:6". Lineage: Eukaryota; Metazoa; Chordata; Mammalia; Primates; Hominidae. The record is from RNAcentral.
CUGCUGUCAGUUAUGAUGCACUGAGAAAACUUCAGAGACCUAAACUUUUUCCAGAGAAGAGAAGCUUUACUGGUGUUCCAGCCCUAAGAAACUUAAAUCCUCAGUGUGACACAACUCAGUCCUUCUACUGCAGCAGCUCUUUUAUAAAUGCCUCCCAAAGCUCCAAGAAGGAACAAAGAAUGUGACCCAGUAAGAUCACACCAUGAGUCUAUAUUGCAGAAACCUUUGUUCAACAAAACUGCAGAUGCUCUGUUGAAUCCACUGGAGAUUGUUCUGAUACUAAGGACAAGUAUCAAACAUCUUUCCUGUGAAAAAUUCCCUCUCCUAGUACUUUAGUUCUGUGGAUCCAAAAUUUAUAGCAUUCUUCUACCACCACAGGGGCUCAUAUGACAUUAACAGACAAGACACUUUUCAGAAAGACAGGUUGUUCUUUUGGGCCACAUCUAAGAAAUCUUUGUCUAGCCAAAAGCCACAAAUAAUUUCUCAUUUUUUGGCUUCUGGAAGAUGUACAGUUAAAUGUUAUAUUUGGGACUGUUAUCUAAUUUGGUUAAAUUGCACUCUACAAUAUGGUAUUUGAAUUGAUGAAAAAUUAGUAAAUGUUAAUAUUUUUUAAAGUAGCCAAAUCUUGCAAUUUAUAUAUAAUAGAGAAGACUAGAAAAUCCCCCAUAUUUAUUUCCUCUUACUUCGUACUACUAAAAUUUGUAUUUAGGCAUUUGGUUUCUCAGAUAAACAUUACAUUCCCCAGUAUAUGGUUCUAUCUGGCUUGGUGACGACAUGUUGAACAUUAAGAUGUGAGCAGAAGUAAUACAUACACACUCUUUUUCAUGUCUUUAAUUGAAUGGGAUAUUGGCCCAUUUUUUCUUCCAGUUUAUUACACUGAAUAUUGACAUGUUAUUUUCCAAUAUUGAGACAAUCAAUGACAAGACUUUAAGAGUAACAAUGUAAAAAUACAGAAGUUGUCUGAGUUUAUCAACAAUCCCCUGGAUUAGAACCCCCUACCAGUUCUAGGUCAUCUAAUAUAUAGACAUUGUGUUCAGUAGAAAUAAAUAUAUAUAUUUUUUAUUAUGCUUUAAGUUCUAGGAUACAUG